Dipodomys ordii (Ord's kangaroo rat) is the source of this 131-nucleotide small nucleolar RNA. Lineage: Eukaryota; Metazoa; Chordata; Mammalia; Rodentia; Heteromyidae. The record is from Ensembl.
AUUCUUCCAUUUCCCAUUGGAUCUGAACACUGGUCUUGGUGGUUAAAAAGGAGAGAAAGUGAUACUGAAGCUAACUAGUUCAUGCACUGCAUUGUAGUCUGGCAUAGCAUGUGGGCUGGAUUCAAACAGGA